This 476-nucleotide ribosomal RNA is filed under the name uncultured Bacteroidales bacterium. RNAcentral's name for it is "bacterial SSU rRNA". It matches the Rfam family "Bacterial small subunit ribosomal RNA", at positions 230 to 702 of the family's 1533-position model. Lineage: Bacteria; Pseudomonadati; Bacteroidota; Bacteroidia; Bacteroidales. The record is from RNAcentral.
CAUGCGUUCCAUUGGGCAGUUUGGCGGGGUAACGGCCCACCAAACCGACGAUGGAUAGGGGUUCUGAGAGGAAGGUCCCCCACAUUGGUACUGAGACACGGACCAAACUCCUACGGGAGGCAGCAGUGAGGAAUAUUGGUCAAUGGCCGAGAGGCUGAACCAGCCAAGUCGCGUGAGGGAUGAAGGUUCUAUGGAUCGUAAACCUCUUUUAUAAGGGAAUAAAGUGCGGGACGUGUCCCGUUUUGUAUGUACCUUAUGAAUAAGGAUCGGCUAACUCCGUGCCAGCAGCCGCGGUAAUACGGAGGAUCCGAGCGUUAUCCGGAUUUAUUGGGUUUAAAGGGUGCGUAGGCGGCCUUUUAAGUCAGCGGUGAAAGUCUGUGGCUCAACCAUAGAAUUGCCGUUGAAACUGGGGGGCUUGAGUAUGUUUGAGGCAGGCGGAAUGCGUGGUGUAGCGGUGAAAUGCAUAGAUAUCACGC